Linepithema humile (Argentine ant) is the source of this 868-nucleotide non-coding RNA. The record is from RefSeq and is a predicted model, not a curated record. NCBI's taxonomy places the organism in Eukaryota, Metazoa, Arthropoda, Insecta, Hymenoptera, Formicidae.
CUUGCGUCGCUCCGUACAUUUUGAUAUUUUUACUGUUUCAAAGUGAAUUCUGCUUGCUAGAAAUUAUUGGACACGUCUCGUACUUGUGAUUGAUCGAAAUCUUCUUUAUACAUUUCACGCCAAAGUAUAACGAAGAUCUAAAAGCGUAUUUUCUGCAUAAAGAAUUAUCGAAGAUGUCUCGUAAAGUGCUUAUUGUAACAUAAGCACGCGAUCAGUAUCAAUGAACUGUUUAUGUAUGCUGGAAUUGGUCAAAAUCAGUCAAAAUCCUUUUUGCAUAAUCACGUCAUUUUAUCAACGAGUGCAGUGAACAUGCAGUGGCGCAUCAUCAUCAGAUAUAUAAACUGUGCGCGUAAUCAGUGCUAUGUAUAAUUCGUUCCGUCGUAAUAUAAUAAAGUGCGCGUCGGGAGUGCCGUUCAAAGUGUCGCGCGAUUUUCGGAUACGCGCGCGAGCAAUGCGUGCGCCGCGAACGCGUGUGAGUGCUCGAAGGACUACUGAGAGGAGGAGCAGGCCUAGGAAUUACUUGGCGACAGCAAAGGAAUGAUAUGAGUGAGGAGUUUCGCCGUGUGACCGUCGCGGCUGCCGUUGUUCCCGUGGAUCUCCGUCAAGUGGUGGUACGUCGCAUACUUCGUACCUCACCGUCGGCAGUGCACGCUUCUUGGAUACGCGGCCACGCAUGGACAAGCAACGGCGACGCGGCACUGCCCAAUGAUGGCCGUGCCGGGCAUUACCGUUGACGUAGUGAUGUAUUAUUAGUGGUGCGCGUCGCGGGAAAGUGCUGUGUGCCGUCGUCUCGCUCGUGCCCGCCGCGCUCUCUCUCUCUCUUCUCUCUCUCUCUCUCUCUCUCUCUCUCUCUCUCUCUCUCUCUCUC